UCGAGGAUCUUUCGCAAUGGGCGCAAGCCUGACGAAGCGACACUGUGUGGACGAUGAAGGCCUUCGGGUUGUAAAGUCCUUUCGCGUAAGAACAAGAGAGGUAGAUUAAUAAUCUGCCGAUUUGAGGGUACUACGUAAAGAAGCACCGGCUAACUCCGUGCCAGCAGCUGCGGUAAUACGGAGGGUGCAAGCAUUAAUCGGAUUUACUGGGCGUAAAGGGCGCGUAGGCGGGUUUAUAAGUCAGAUGUGAAAUUCCGGAGCUCAACUUCGGAGCGGCAUCUGAAACUAUAAGUCUAUAGAGGAAUGGCGGAGAAAACGGAAUUCCACGUGUAGCGGUGAAAUGCGUAGAUAUGUGGAAGAACACCUGUGGCGAAAGCGGUUUUCUAGCUAUUACCUGACGCUGAGGCGCGAGAGCAUGGGGAGCAAACAGG
This 431-nucleotide ribosomal RNA is filed under the name uncultured bacterium. RNAcentral describes it as "bacterial SSU rRNA". It matches the Rfam family "Bacterial small subunit ribosomal RNA", at positions 355 to 776 of the family's 1533-position model. The record is from RNAcentral.